UAGGGAAUAUUGGUAAUGGGCGAAAGCCCGAACCAGCAACGCCGCGUGUGCGAUGAAGGCCUUCGGGUCGUAAAGCACUUUUUGAGAAGAUGAUGAAGGACAGUACUCUCAGAAUAAGUCUCGGCUAACUACGUGCCAGCAGCAGCGGUAACACGUAGGAGACAAGCGUUAUCCGGAUUUACUGGGCGUAAAGCGCGUGCAGGCGGUUUGGAAAGUUGGAUGUGAAAGCUCCUGGCUUAACUGGGAGAGGUCAUUCAAAACUUCCAGACUAGAGAGUGGUAGAGGAAGGUGGAAUUCCGGGUGUAGUGGUGAAAUGCGUAGAUAUCCGGAGGAACACCAGUGGCGAAAGCGGCCUUCUGGACCAUUUCUGACGCUCAGACGCGAAAGCUAGGGUAGCAAACGGGAUUAGAGACCCCGGUAGUCCUAGCCGUAAACCAUGUAGACUUGGCGUUGGUGGUUAAUAUCCACCAGUGCCGUAGCUAACGCGUUAAGUCUACCGCCUGGGGACUACGAUCGCAAGAUUA
This 524-nucleotide ribosomal RNA is filed under the name uncultured bacterium. RNAcentral's name for it is "bacterial SSU rRNA". It matches the Rfam family "Bacterial small subunit ribosomal RNA", at positions 355 to 896 of the family's 1533-position model. The record is from RNAcentral.